RNAcentral lists this ribosomal RNA (253 nucleotides) under uncultured bacterium. RNAcentral's name for it is "partial 16S ribosomal RNA". It matches the Rfam family "Bacterial small subunit ribosomal RNA", at positions 524 to 776 of the family's 1533-position model. The record is from RNAcentral.
UACGUAGGGGGCAAGCGUUGCUCGGAAUUACUGGGCGUAAAGGGCGCGUAGGCGGACAGCUUAGUCAGAGGUGAAAGCCCAGGGCUCAACCUUGGAAAUGCCUUUGAUACUGGCUGUCUUGAGCUCGGGAGAGGUGAGUGGAAUGCCGAGUGUAGAGGUGAAAUUCGUAGAUAUUCGGCGGAACACCAGUGGCGAAGGCGACUCACUGGCCCGAUACUGACGCUGAGGCGCGAAAGCGUGGGGAGCAAACAGG